UACGGAGAGUGCAAGCGUUGUUCGGAAUUACUGGGCGUAAAGCGUGUGUAGGCUGCUACAUAAGUCGGAUGUGAAAGCCCCGGGCUCAACCCGGGAAGUGCACUCGAUACUGCGUAGCUUGAGUCUCGGAGAGGUUGGUGGAAUUCUCGGUGUAGAGGUGAAAUUCGUAGAUAUCGAGAGGAACACCGGUGGCGAAGGCGGGUCUCUGGGCAACAACUGACGCUGAGGAGCGAAAGCGUGGGGAGCGAACAGG
This 253-nucleotide ribosomal RNA is filed under the name uncultured bacterium. RNAcentral describes it as "partial 16S ribosomal RNA". It matches the Rfam family "Bacterial small subunit ribosomal RNA", at positions 524 to 776 of the family's 1533-position model. The record is from RNAcentral.